This is a long non-coding RNA of Chelonoidis abingdonii (Abingdon island giant tortoise), 1593 nucleotides long. Lineage: Eukaryota; Metazoa; Chordata; Testudines; Testudinidae. The record is from Ensembl.
CUGAGACUCGCCCCCUCGGACACACUGCAUAGAUCCCAGGGGGGUUGCGUCUCUCCAGCAGCCAGGCUCUCUGGGGCCAUGGGGGGCCCUGAGGCAGGACACCGGGUGCCGGUAGCGGCACUGCUGACAAUCCUGGCUUCUGCUCUGCUGAUCCCAGAGACCGUCUCCCUGCGCUGUCACAGCCACAGCUCCGUCCUGCUCCGCGACCGGGGGGGUAAACCCCUCGACAGCAUCAUCACCCCCAAUGGGACCGAGUCCUGCGCCCCGGCCCACAGAGCCUGCAUGGAAGCUGCUGUCACCCUCAGCGCAGGGGGCAUGUCCAUGACUCUGAUCCAAAGGGGGUGCAGAGCUGGACACCCCAAGGGAGGGACCGAACCCCCCACUGCGCCCAGCAGAUUCCUCCACAUCCAGGCCGAUGUCCGCUACUGCCAGUCGGACCAGUGCAAUGCCAAGGGACUGGGGCUGGGGAGCCCCGGGCAAGGCACAGCUCCGGCCCCCAGCGGCCCCACCCAGUGCUACGCCGGCCUGAGCCUCAGCCCCCAGCCCCACACUCUGGAGCAGGUGACGUGCGACGGUGACGACGCCCGCUGUUACCACGGCAACGGCACCCUCACAGCAGGGAAGCUCGUGGUGCCCGUCUUCGUGUGGAGCUGCCAGGCCCCAUCCUGCGCCGUGCCCCCCAGCCGCCACGUCGGACCCCUGCAGCUCAGCCAGGCCGGCACCUGCUGCGCUGGCAGCUACUGCAACAGGCAGAGGGCCCUGGCACAGAUCUUCAUCCACCACAAACUCUCCUCCGUUCCCGUCAGCGACAACCCCCUCGCCUACGCCACGGCCAGGAAAGACCACAGACAGCCCUGGCGCAGCCAUGGCACGGCGCCCACGGAGCCACACGACCCAGACAACCACACAGAGACCGGCUAUCCGGACCAAGACAUCACCAGCUACUACGACCACACAGAGACAGACUAUCCGGACCGAGACAUCACCAGCUACUACGACCACACAGAGACAGACUAUCCGGACCGAGACCUCAACGGCUACAACAGCACGGAGCUACCCAACCCCCGCUACAAGGGGGACCUGCCCCACGGCACCCGCCCCCGCUCCCACCCCACCGAGCCCGGCAAGAAAAUCAGCUACCCCAAAUCCACCGUCCGCCCCAUCCAGAAGCACCCCAAUCCCAGGCCCCACAGCUCCCAGGCGCCCGCCCUACGCCUCUGCCCCCUGCUGGUGGUGCUGGGAAUAGCCUGCCUGGGGCUGUGAUGGGGGGCUGGGGGCCAGGAUGCCUGGGUUCUAUCCCCAGCUCUGGGAGGGGAGUGGGGUCUAGUGGGUUGGAGCAGGGGGCUGGGAGUCAGGACUCAUGGGGUGUCUCCUCAAUUCUUAGUAGCUAUGAGGAAAUUACUCCCCGCCCCGCCACAUUACCUGCCUCAGUUUCCCCACAUUUAAAGGGAGGGCUCCCAGAGAUGGGGGGGGGUUACGCCCCAUUUCCCUGAAUUGCUGUUGCUGCUGCUUUCAGUCCCCAUUAACCCUUUGUGGGGCCCCUGCCCUGCGCUUCCCCCCUCACACACACCCCUAUCCUGUUUUUAAUAAAGU